RNAcentral lists this long non-coding RNA (775 nucleotides) under Chinchilla lanigera (long-tailed chinchilla). RNAcentral describes it as "lncRNA (ENSCLAG00000029276.1)". The record is from RNAcentral. Lineage: Eukaryota; Metazoa; Chordata; Mammalia; Rodentia; Chinchillidae.
AGAACCUUGAUUUUAGACCUGCCGCUCUAUCCCUCUAUGCCAGGUAUUUCACACGCAAAACGGAAUGGUGGCUGCCACCUGCCUAUCCUGUAUCCGAGGUUAGGUGCCCUGGAAAAUGAAAUAAGAGCGAUGUAAAUACUGUGUUCAAAGAGCUAUACACAACCAUGAAGUGGCCCGGAAGCUGGGUAUGGGCUUCAGAUGCGCAUGCAGAGGCUGGGCUCACCAGGAUCUCCAUCAAUAUCAAUGGUGUAAGACCACAUUAUUCAUGGCUGCUGCUGAAAUGAGCACACUACCACAUCUUCCUAUGAAAGACCAUGUGAUGAUCUGGCAGGAAGUUGCAAAGGCCGUCUUCAGAGAAUGCGGUUCUGAGAAUACUAAUAAUAAUGAUAGACUUGAAAGGAAAAGUAAAAAUAAAAGCUCCACACGUUCUAAUUUAUGGCAGUGCUCACUUCUUUGCCCACAGCAGGACAUCCGGCUUUCUCCUGUGCAGCAACUUCACAAAUUUAAAGAGCUUGAGAAAGGACUGACUUAUGUCAUCAACAUCAGAGCUCGAGGGUACAGCCCUGAAAACGUGAGGGUUAGUAAUUUAAAGACCUCUUCAGACAGUCAGGUAGUAGACAGAUGGGCAGACACAUAUGCACAUGCAUGCACACGCCUUUACACUGUAGCAACAUCUCAAUUCUCAUUCUUUUAGGUAGAGCUAGUAUUUAAAAAUAUUAUAAUGAACAUAGACUCUCCAAGUCACCUACCUUCACAGUCUUCUUGCCUUUUGUCA